Molecule: long non-coding RNA, 68 nt
Organism: Cavia porcellus (domestic guinea pig)
Lineage: Eukaryota; Metazoa; Chordata; Mammalia; Rodentia; Caviidae
Rfam family: Deleted in lymphocytic leukemia 2 conserved region 2
Source: Rfam
CUUAGCUCCAAACUCAAGUAACAGGCUAAAAAAUAUUAGAAAAAUCUGGCAUCAAUUUAAAAAGAAAC